This 1332-nucleotide ribosomal RNA is filed under the name Streptococcus equi. RNAcentral describes it as "bacterial SSU rRNA". It matches the Rfam family "Bacterial small subunit ribosomal RNA", at positions 46 to 1362 of the family's 1533-position model. Lineage: Bacteria; Bacillati; Bacillota; Bacilli; Lactobacillales; Streptococcaceae. The record is from RNAcentral. RNAcentral also lists the same sequence under 1 other name.
GCCUAAUACAUGCAAGUUGACGACAGAUGAUACGUAGCUUGCUACAAUUAUCUGUAGUCGAACGGGUGAGUAACGCGUAGGUAACCUAGCUUAUAGCGGGGGAUAACUAUUGGAAACGAUAGCUAAUACCGCAUAAAAGUGGUUGACCCAUGUUAACCAUUUAAAAGGAGCAACAGCUCCACUAUGAGAUGGACCUGCGUUGUAUUAGCUAGUUGGUAGGGUAAAGGCCUACCAAGGCGACGAUAUCAAAUAGCCUUAAGAGGUUGAACGGCCACACUGGGACUGAGACACGGCCCAGACUCCUACGGGAGGCAGCAGUAGGGAAUCUUCGGCAAUGGGGGGAACCCUGACCGAGCAACGCCGCGUGAGUGAAGAAGGUUUUCGGAUCGUAAAGCUCUGUUGUUAGAGAAGAACAGUGAUGGGAGUGGAAAGUCCAUCAUGUGACGGUAACUAACCAGAAAGGGACGGCUAACUACGUGCCAGCAGCCGCGGUAAUACGUAGGUCCCGAGCGUUGUCCGGAUUUAUUGGGCGUAAAGCGAGCGCAGGCGGUUUGAUAAGUCUGAAGUUAAAGGCAGUCGCUUAACCAUUGUAUGCUUUGGAAACUGGAGAACUUGAGUGCAGAAGGGGAGAGUGGAAUUCCAUGUGUAGCGGUGAAAUGCGUAGAUAUAUGGAGGAACACCGGUGGCGAAAGCGGCUCUCUGGUCUGUAACUGACGCUGAGGCUCGAAAGCGUGGGGAGCAAACAGGAUUAGAGACCCUGGUAGUCCACGCCGUAAACGCUGAGUGCUAGGUGUUAGGCCCUUUCCGGGGCUUAGUGCCGGAGCUAACGCAUUAAGCACUCCGCCUGGGGAGUACGACCGCAAGGUUGAAACUCAAAGGAAUUGACGGGGGCCCGCACAAGCGGUGGAGCAUGUCGUUUAAUUCGAAGCAACGCGAAGAACCUUACCAGGUCUUGACAUCCCGAUGCUAUUCUUAGAGAUAAGAAGUUACUCCGGUACAUUGGAGACAGGUGGUGCAUGGUUGUCGUCAGCUCGUGUCGUGAGAUGUUGGGUUAAGUCCCGCAACGAGCGCAACCCCUAUUGUUAGUUGCCAUCAUUAAGUUGGGCACUCUAGCGAGACUGCCGGUAAUAAACCGGAGGAAGGUGGGGAUGACGUCAAAUCAUCAUGCCCCUUAUGACCUGGGCUACACACGUGCUACAAUGGUUGGUACAACGAGUCGCAAGCCGGUGACGGCAAGCUAAUCUCUGAAAGCCAAUCUCAGUUCGGAUUGUAGGCUGCAACUCGCCUACAUGAAGUCGGAAUCGCUAGUAAUCGCGGAUCAGCACGCCGCGG